This 468-nucleotide ribosomal RNA is filed under the name uncultured bacterium. RNAcentral describes it as "partial 16S ribosomal RNA". It matches the Rfam family "Bacterial small subunit ribosomal RNA", at positions 28 to 507 of the family's 1533-position model. The record is from RNAcentral.
GACGAACGCUGGCGGCGUGCUUAACACAUGCCAGUCGAACGGAAAGGCCCUGCUUUUGUGGGGUGCUCGAGUGGCGAACGGGUGAGUAACACGUGAGUAACCUGCCCUUGACUUUGGGAUAACUUCAGGAAACUGGGGCUAAUACCGGAUAGGAGCUCCUGCUGCAUGGUGGGGGUUGGAAAGUUUCGGCGGUUGGGGAUGGACUCGCGGCUUAUCAGCUUGUUGGUGGGGUAGUGGCUUACCAAGGCUUUGACGGGUAGCCGGCCUGAGAGGGUGACCGGCGACAUUGGGCCUGAGAUACGGCCCAGACUCCUACGGGAGGCAGCAGGGGGGAAUAUUGCACAAUGGGCGGAAGCCUGAUGCAGCAACGCCGCGUGCGGGAUGACGGCCUUCGGGUUGUAAACCGCUUUCGCCUGUGACGAAGCGUGCGUGACGGUAAUGGGUAAAGAAGCACCGGCUAACUACGUG